This 835-nucleotide long non-coding RNA is filed under the name Aquilegia coerulea. Its description in RNAcentral is "long non-coding RNA (ACOE_LNC001789)". Lineage: Eukaryota; Viridiplantae; Streptophyta; Magnoliopsida; Ranunculales; Ranunculaceae. The record is from RNAcentral.
ACUCCAUCUCUCACCCUCAUCUCUCCAUGAUUUUUCUUCUUCUGAUGUUCUCUGCUUCCCUGCUUCUCUGGUUCAAGCAAUAAUUGAUACUCCUACUAUGUUUUUUUUUAGUGUUUUCUUCAGGAGUAGGUAUUUGCACAGUAAUUUUAAUCCUUCUCUACGUAAUCAAGAAUAAACAAAAUUGUAGGCGAACAUGCUGUUAUUGAAUUGAAUCAAGAAUAAAAAAAAAUAUCAAAUAAAAGCAAUUGCUAGAUAACAAAAGUAUUGAAGAUUAAGAGUUAAAAAAUUACCCCAACUCUUUGAUAUUGCAACUAAACCUCUGAAUCAAAUACUUGCAGAUUGUGAUAUUGCAACUAAACCUUUGAAUCAACUUCUCAAAGGGUACCUGAUUUAUUCGAUUGAUGAGUAAAAAAAUCUUCUAAAUCUUCUAUUAACGGUGAUAAAGAAAGAGAGUUUAAAGAAAGGGAGAGAUUGAAUAGCCAAUUUUGGUCAAAACUGUAACAGUUGAAAUAAAAUUCGAAGUUGAAGAAGAGUUUGGAGUGAAAAGAAGUUACUAAUUAGAAAAGGUAUUUCAAUUGAAGAAGAAGAAGAGAUUGAUCAAUUACCUGAGAUAGAGCAAAGCAUCUUGUCGAACGUUAAAACUUAAAACUACUACUUCUUCUUCUUCUUCUUCUUCUGCUUCUUCGCCCUUUGCUUUUCUCCCUCUUCUCAAAGUUUUCCCCUUUCUCUUGGUUUCGUUUGUAUAUAUAAAAAGACACAAGAUUUCAAUUUUGGAAGAAAAACUAAAGAGAUUGAAUACUAAAUUUUGAUAAAUAAAAAGCCCACCGUGUAACUU